Non-coding RNA from Phrynosoma platyrhinos (Desert horned lizard), 72 nucleotides. The record is from the annotation of a GenBank genome assembly. Lineage: Eukaryota; Metazoa; Chordata; Lepidosauria; Squamata; Phrynosomatidae.
UACAGUGUAGUAUAGUGGUUUGACUGUUAGAUUACAACUCUGGGGACCAGGGUUCGAUUCCCAGCUUGGCCA